GUGUCCUUUCAGUAUUUGAACUGCUUCAAGAAGGUUUCGUUACACAACUCCUCCAGCUGCACAGCAGCAUUAUUCACAGCACUGCAUUUGCAUAGACAAGCAUCCCAGACCACGAAAACGAUGAUACUGACAUUAAGGGAGUUGAGAUCAGCACAGCACCAAGCGCUGCAAUUUGAGCUGAAGGCACAACACCAGGUCGUGGGAAAGGUGCCAAAAGUGACGCUGGCAUGGAGAAGUUCUCUCGGAGCAGAAGAACAAGAGAAGCAGUACAAACUUUGCCACAUUACUUCAUAACCACGGAAAUGUGAGAAAUCAGCUCCAACAGCCCCUGUGUGUAACACAGCUUCGGAGACCUGCAGCUGGGGUGAGCUGGCACCUCCUGCAUUCCUGCCCUCUGAGCCGACAGCGGCUUCUGGAAACCAAACUGAGCGCAGCCAACCAUUAAAGGAUAAUUACAGCCCUCCUGGCAGGACAGGCCACUCAUUUGCUGCCUCACCUCCAAUUCCUUUGGCCCGCCAUUCCCCCUCAGAAACUCAGCUGAGAACUCAGCUCCCUCCCCUUCAGCCUGCUCAGUGUUUGAGUUAUAAAUCACGAGGCUGAGCAAAUAUCCGACCUGGAGGGACGUGGCAAAGCACGAGUAACCGUGCAGGCAAAAGCAGCAGUUCAGGUCUAACAGCACCUCCUGAACACACCUGGCAGCAGCACGGAGCUGCCAGCCCCAGGCAGGCACGUCCAGGGCUGAGAGCACCAGGCUGGCUCUGUUUGCCCACGCGAUGGCUGUGCUGGGGCUCAGGGCUUUGGAAAGCAUUUUGGGAUCAGCUGUCACAUUAAGAAAAUGUAUUUUGGGAUUUGUACCCGUCUAAAAGGCACCUAUUUGCAAUAAAUAUUUGAGUUAAUGAAUUUCCAA
Long non-coding RNA from Tympanuchus pallidicinctus (lesser prairie-chicken), 907 nucleotides. RefSeq lists it as uncharacterized. The record is from RefSeq and is a predicted model, not a curated record. Lineage: Eukaryota; Metazoa; Chordata; Aves; Galliformes; Phasianidae. The transcript is spliced from 2 exons.